This 467-nucleotide ribosomal RNA is filed under the name uncultured bacterium. RNAcentral's name for it is "partial 16S ribosomal RNA". It matches the Rfam family "Bacterial small subunit ribosomal RNA", at positions 28 to 506 of the family's 1533-position model. The record is from RNAcentral.
GACGAACGCUGGCGGCGUGCUUAACACAUGCAAGUCGAACGGAAAGGCCCUGCUUUUGUGGGGUGCUCGAGUGGCGAACGGGUGAGUAACACGUGAGUAACCUGCCCUUGACUUUGGGAUAACUUCAGGAAACUGGGGCUAAUACCGGAUAGGAGCUCCUGCUGCAUGGUGGGGGUUGGAAAGUUUCGGCGGUUGGGGAUGGACUCGCGGCUUAUCAGCUUGUUGGUGGGGUAGUGGCUUACCAAGGCUUUGACGGGUAGCCGGCCUGAGAGGGUGACCGGCCACAUGGGGACGGGGAUACGGCCCAGACUCCUACGGGAGGCAGCAGUGGGGAAUAUUGCACAAGGGGCGGAAGCCUGAGGCAGCAACGCCGCGUGCGGGAUGACGGCCUUCGGGUUGUAAACCGCUUUCGCCUGUGACGAAGCGUGAGUGACGGUAAUGGGUAAAGAAGCACCGGCUAACUACGU